UCGAGAGUCGAGACAAUAAACUUCGCCCCGAUUAACAUUGAGAACUAUUAGGAACCGACCAAGACAGUGUCUACAACUUGAAGUAGUAUUCAGUUAAUUGAAAUCAAGCUCAGGGUCACAAGUCAUUGGAACAAGUUUUUAAUAAUCAGUUAAUGACAAAUUUCUGACACAACUAUGCAGCUAAAUAGAAGCAAGACGAACCCCAACACUACACAAUGUAAAAGCUGCCACAAACAACUCCAAAGAAACAAACAAGCCCUCACUAAAAUAAUCACUCGAAACCUUUUAAGCCUAAUUAGAAAACAAAACGUGAGCUAAAAAGAUACCAUGUACUGUUUACUGAAAUCGCUUGCUUCUUCAACUGCCAAAUAUCUUAGUUUUGUGAGACAUUGAUAUUGCUAAAAAUGUGAAGAUUCCAUAGGACAUAGUUAAAGAAAUGACGCACUAGCAUUAGAAAAUUUCAUUGAGAAAAAUAACACAAGCUAAGUGGAGACAUUAAGUGUAAUUUUAGACUUUAAGUAUGAAAAAAAUGGCAUCAUAUAAUAAAUUAAACAAAGGGGUCCAAGUCUUCAUCCUGGAAUUGCGGUUCAAUGAUGGACUUGUUUAAUUGACUUUGAAGAAUGUAAUGGUUGGUAUCUAAACCUAAUAGUGUACACAUUAUUUUACCAAAGAUCAAUGCUUAAACUCUAGUUUCUUGUAUUGUUUGAUUAACAUUAACAUUCAUUAUAUGAGCACCAGCUAAGUACGGCGCAUGGAAAAACGGUCAAAUAUGAACUGUGAUUCGGUAAUUAUAUUACUAAUUAAGUGAGGCACAACCUUGACCAUUUGUUCUUUCUCUACUACAGUUUCCAUUAUGGCCGAUUCACACGUGGAAGUUCGUGGAAACAGAGAAAAAACUGGCCCCAUUUAUAACCAAAAAUACUAAUCUAGUUGAGCCUUAACCUUGUUUGAGCUUUUGACACUACUAAUUAGAUCCUUCUUUUUUUCCUACUAUCUCUUACACAUUCUCAUUCUUGAUCCUUUUGUUGUCCUCUCUUGAUGAUGUCAAGUUCAUCAAGGAGUCAAGUGGGGUGUCUCUUAUUGAUGAUACUAUUAAGUGUUUCAGUUCUAAGAGAUGGAGUGUUGGGUGGUAGAUAUCUAAAAGUAACACUAGUGGAUGAGUAUGUUCUUCAAUCUCCUCCAUGUUGGAGGAAAAGCUGCAUUAACAAUAAUGAAACAGAUGGUGAUGGAGGCUCUUACUCUUUCGAGACAGUUCAUAGAGAAGUUCCAUCCUCUCCUGACCCCUUACACAACAGCAUGUUUCAGAUAAUUUGACCAACAAAGUUAAGGAUGCUCAAGUUAUAAGAUCUUGAAUCUGGAGGUUCAAUAUUUGAACUGCAGUGCCACUCAUUGUGGGAAAUGUUUAAGAGUGGAUAUACUAUUUGUACAGCUAGAUAUGGUUGUUCAUGUUGGCAAGUAAUUAUUUUAUUAUUUUAUUUUAUUUAACGUCUAUUCUUAUGUUUUUAUUGAAACCCUGUAACAUUGUUGGUCAUUACUCAUUAUUCAAUAGUACACAACAAUAAUUUGCAAUAAAAUAUCCCUUUUCCAGGCUCUAAUAGUAAUGGUAUGUAUUAUUAAGCGACAAUCAGUAAUAAUCAUUGCCUCAGCUCGUGGUCAUUUUGAUUUUAGUUACUAUGCGCACCGAGAGAAAAAUUAUACCAAAAAAUGAUGUGUCUUAUUGUUCAUUCUCCCAAAAGAACAAAUCAAAACAGUGUCCUUAAAAGAGUUAUGACCGUGAAUGCUACUCUGUUAAGAGCCAGCUAAAAAGAUUGGGCACCACAACAAUGCAUCUGUUGUGUCAUUAUUCUAUUACAAAACUUGUUUCAAUAGUUUAGUCCCAAAUUUCCAGACGGUAUUGCUCUUUUCAAAAAAAUUUGUAAUUGAAGCCAGGAUAGACGCA
This is a non-coding RNA of Arachis ipaensis, 1939 nucleotides long. NCBI's taxonomy places the organism in Eukaryota, Viridiplantae, Streptophyta, Magnoliopsida, Fabales, Fabaceae. The record is from RefSeq and is a predicted model, not a curated record.